GCUGUCAGCACAGAACCCCACGCGGGGCUCGAACCCACGAACCGUGAGGUCACGACCUGAGCUGAAGUCGGGCGCUUAACCGACUGAGCCAGCCAGGCACCCCCUCAUCUUCUUUAUCUGUUGAGGGCAAACCUGGUCCAGCUGAGAGCUCCUUCACGGAAGGGAGAAGCUGAACAGAUGUUCAACACAGCGGACAAAUGUUCGGCAAGACCUGCCUCUGCUGCCAAAGAGUAAACUGAGCAUUACCCAGAAUCUAAACCAGCAGAAAGCGGAGAUGAUUGGAGUGCCUUUUUCCCUGCGCUCGGCUAUUACGAGUCGCAAACAGUGAGUAAAGGUGGCGAUUUUAGGGACGGAUGUUAAAUGCGUGCCCGCUCGCACACACACGCGCGUGCACGCACACACAGAGCCCACUCCCAGGCAGGUAUCAGAUUCUCGGAGGUGCCGCUUGUGCCUCCGCAGCUCCGGGUCCAUAGACGCUUCUCUGCUAAAAAGGAUGCUGGGCUCACGGAUGGAUUCUCUUCUGAGAUCAUCUGAUCCUAAGAAUCGCCCAUAACUCCAGAGGAAGCCCAAGCCCCUCUCUGAGGUGUGCUGACUCGGGGAGUCUGGGGAGGGGGCUAUAAACCCGUAACUUCAGCACGGACGCUUGACGGCUUGGGGGACCCCGUGGGCGGCGCGGCCCGACGCGCACCCCUCUGUCUGCGGGGGAGAGGACGCGGCCCAGGGAGAUGCGGGGACCGGUCCCAGCUCGCGCGGCUCACAGCAGAGCUGGGGCUGUGGUGUCUGAUUCCAUGCUUCUCUCUUCGGCUCUAGGUGUUUUGAAAUAUCCCUCAGGGGACACGCCGACCGACCCAGCUCGGCCACAGCGACUCCCAGGGCACUUCACAACCGGGGUGCGGGUGGAGAUGUUAACGGCGUCACACAUGCCUGCUCACGUCCCCGAGACAGAGAUGUGUGCGGAAUCCAGGGCCUGAAGGCAGCUCGAAGACCUGGGGGGUCCUGAAGUGCUUUCUGAAGCGAAGAUCGGAGUUCGCCGAAUAGUCCUAUGCCCAGUGCACCCGAUGGGCUGGAAACCUGGCGACCUGCACUGUACUUCUCGAGACAGUUCCCACAGCCAGGAACUUACCGAAUGAACAAAAGCUACAUCCUGGGACAAUAAAGUCAGGAGAGCAAGAAGCUAGCACCAAAAAAACGGGAAGGCAGGAAAAGGGCAGAGGCAGAGAGGCCGCGGGCUGUGCCCCCAGAGGCAGGCAACCGACAAGAGACCUGGGUUCCAGAAUGUGACCGACAGGGCGCGACUGCUCUGUGGUGCUGUCCCGAGACCCUGGCUGGCACUAUCAGCUUUUGCAGGGGACACGUCCCAACUCCAGACAGCUGGACUCACCUGGGCUGUAAGAAUAAGCUCGUUGAUGACGUGUGCUGCGUGCUGACACCGAUCUGGGGGCCCCAUGACUUGUGCGGCUCUCUCCGGACUAACACCGUCGUCUGCCGAACAAAGGGAGAGACUGGGUCAGAAAAAGCCCAAAUGAAACUUGGAAACAAAGGCUUUACUUGACCAAAUGGAAAGUUGGAAACGCCACGAGGGCCCAGAGAAAGCUGGACUGGUAUUUUGGUAAUAGAAUAGGGGAGGGGGGCACGGAGAGAACACACACAUGAGCCAAGUACAGAGUCCUUGUCUCGUUAAGCGCGUUUAUGAUGCUUCGCGGCACGAAGGGUUUUUGAGAGUCAUCAAAACCAACCUGGCUUGAACUGAAUCCUCACCCCGGCAUCAUUCUGAAUCUUUUUGAUCAUCUCCCCAUUUCUUCCUAUCACAAUCCCAACAGCAAACCUCGGCACAGACACCUGAGAGCACAGGGAAACAGAACCUGAUCACCGCUGUCUGCAAAUCGGUUGUUUCUUAAAGGGCACAUUAAAAAAGGAAAAAAGACAAAGAAAAGAAAGAACAGA
This is a long non-coding RNA of Felis catus (domestic cat), 1944 nucleotides long. RefSeq lists it as uncharacterized. The record is from RefSeq and is a predicted model, not a curated record. Lineage: Eukaryota; Metazoa; Chordata; Mammalia; Carnivora; Felidae. The transcript is spliced from 2 exons.